Nicotiana attenuata is the source of this 1133-nucleotide long non-coding RNA. RefSeq lists it as uncharacterized. The record is from RefSeq and is a predicted model, not a curated record. The transcript is spliced from 2 exons. NCBI's taxonomy places the organism in Eukaryota, Viridiplantae, Streptophyta, Magnoliopsida, Solanales, Solanaceae.
CAAGGCAACAGGCCCUUCACUCCCAAUUGAACCCCUACCAUCCCGCGUUGUCCCCCACCUGAACACCGUUAUCCCCGUUGGCCUCCGCCACACCCCUUCUCUUAUUCUUCCCUACUUACUUUUCUCGUGUUUUGUACUUCCAUUAUUUUUCUACCCAAAUCCCAUUCCUUUCCGUUUAUUCCCAAAGUUACUACAUAGCCACAUUCUACACCGGUGACUCCAUUGUCACCAUCUAAUCUUUGCUAAAUUCUUCUUAAAUUAGAAGUUACCGGUGAUUUAUAUUGAACAGUUAUUUUGUUGAUUUUGUUUGUGGUUUUGGUAAUUAGCUUAAAUACUUGUAUCUUGAAUUUUGAUUUUGGCAUCUUUAUGGUAAAGUUUCUAUUUCACAAAAAAUGGGGUUGGGUGUUUGUAUAUUGCUCUGUCGGUGAUAGAUCCCGUUUUUCCCCUAUAAGUUGUGUGAUUUAUGGGUUAUUUUCUGCAUGAUUUUAUGAUUUUUUGUUCUUAGCUUUUUUUGGUGGUUCAAUGGGUCUUAAUUGCAGUUUGACUAGUGAAGUUUGAACUUUGUAUUUGAAACAGAGGUAGAUUUUGCUGGGACAAAGUAGUAAUUUUGAUUUUUGAAGGUCUUGGGGGUGAUGGCAUCACCCAUGGUGUAAAGUAAUUUUAUUAUUUCACAGGUUUACUCUCUCUCUCCCUCUUCACUGCCCUAGCGACAACAUUGUCGUUGCGCCAAUCAGAUUCACCCACAAAUUUCAGAUCUAGAAGAUUUGGCCGGAAUUUAAAUAUUUCGGCUACCUCUUUGCGCGUGUCGUUUUGGAGUUGCUCCGGUGUUUAUUGUCGUGGUAGUAACGCCGUCUCCAGAUGUUAACUCUACCGUUAAUCCCCUUGAAUCUGGUGGAAACCAUUUUCUCCGACGACCUUCACGUUAUUGGAUUUUUUUUACUGCCUGGCGAACUUUCCAUUCCGGCAUGUUUUUGACUGGGCUGGCUUUGAAGAAAUGUUUUUGCUUAGCUUUGUCUGUUCUUAGGGAUAUACCAUCGUUCUGUGAUAUUUUGUUGUAGUGAUUUAUUUCGAAGCGGUACAUAUUGAUGAGACUGAUAAGAUUAGAAUAUUACAAUGACAAAUUUGGAUUUAAA